UGGGGAAUAUUGCGCAAUGGGCGAAAGCCUGACGCAGCAACGCCGCGUGAGUGAUGAAGGCCUUCGGGUCGUAAAGCUCUGUUGUACGGGAAGAAAUGCUCACGACUAAUACUCAUGAGUUUUGACGGUACCGUAUCAGAAAGGACCGGCUAACUUCGUGCCAGCAGCCGCGGUAAGACGAGGGGUCCUAGCGUUGUUCGGAAUCACUGGGCGUAAAGCGUAUGUAGGCGGCUUUCUAAGUCGGUCGUGAAAUCCCAUGGCUUAACCAUGGAAUUGCGUUCGAAACUGGAGAGCUUGAGUGUGGGAGAGAUUGGUAGAAUACCUGGUGUAGUGGUGAAAUACGUAGAUAUCAGGUGGAAUACCGGUGCGAAGGCGGCCAAUUGGCCCAACACUGACGCUGAGAUACGAAAGCGUGGGGAUCAAACAGGAUUAGAUACCCACGUAGUCCCUGAGCGGGCUGGCAAGGCGCAU
RNAcentral lists this ribosomal RNA (471 nucleotides) under uncultured bacterium. RNAcentral's name for it is "bacterial SSU rRNA". It matches the Rfam family "Bacterial small subunit ribosomal RNA", at positions 355 to 825 of the family's 1533-position model. The record is from RNAcentral.